Molecule: long non-coding RNA, 519 nt
Organism: Armigeres subalbatus
Lineage: Eukaryota; Metazoa; Arthropoda; Insecta; Diptera; Culicidae
Exons: 2
Source: RefSeq, a predicted model, not a curated record
UCCUCUCGAUUAUUGAAUCGAUUAAUCGUUGGGUAAUAAUCGAUUCAAAAUUAAUCGAUUAUCACAACGAUGAAUCGAUUAAUCGAAGUAAUCGAUUAAUUUGCGACAUCUCUAGCGACGUCGUGCACAAACCGAAGCGGACAAACGGGACAAACACAAAACAGCAAGUUGAUUGUUCGGUGUUUGCAACUUCAAACGUAAAAUUACGAGUUUCCUAAUUUGAACUUCGUUGCAAUCAACAUCUCACUCAACCAUGGCCGAUAAGGAGAACAAGGAAAAGUCUAAGGUGGAUCUGGGCCUCUUGGAGGAGGAUGACGAAUUCGAGGAGUUCCCCGCAGAAGAUUGGACUGGCAACAAAGAGGACGAAGAGGAGCUUAGCGUUUGGGAAGACAACUGGGACGACGAUAACGUGGAAGAUGAUUUCAACCAGCAGCUGAGGGCGCAGUUGGAGAAACAGAAAUCAAAUUAAUAUUCGAAAUUAGAUUAGGAAGUUUCGGAAUAAAUAAGCCCGAGGUUGAA